AACCUCCGCAAUGUGAGAAAUCGCGACGGGGGGAUCCCAAGUGCCAUUCUUAACGGGAUGGCUUUUCAUUAGUGUAAAGAGCUUUUGGAAUAAGGGCUGGGCAAGACCGGUGCCAGCCGCCGCGGUAACACCGGCAGCUCUAGUGGUAGCAGUUUUUAUUGGGCCUAAAGCGUCCGUAGCCGGUUUAAUAAGUCUCUGGUGAAAUCCUGUAGCUUAACUGUGGGAAUUGCUGGAGAUACUAUUAGACUUGAGACCGGGAGAGGUUAGAGGUACUCCCAGGGUAGAGGUGAAAUUCUGUAAUCCUGGGAGGACCGCCUGUUGCGAAGGCGUCUAACUGGAACGGUUCUGACGGUGAGGGACGAAAGUUAGGGGCGCGAACCGGAUUAGAUACCCGGGUAGUCCUAACUGUAAACGAUGCGGACUUGGUGUUGGGGUGGCUUUGAGCUGCUUCAGUGCCGAAGGGAAGCUGUUAAGUCCGCCGCCUGGGAAGUACGGUCGCAAGACUGAAACUUAAAGGAAUU
RNAcentral lists this ribosomal RNA (521 nucleotides) under uncultured bacterium. Its description in RNAcentral is "bacterial SSU rRNA". It matches the Rfam family "Archaeal small subunit ribosomal RNA", at positions 345 to 866 of the family's 1478-position model. The record is from RNAcentral.